GCUAGGCAUGGUGGUGCACACCUGUAAUCCUAGCAGCUCUGGAGGCUGAGUCAGGAGAAUCUCAAGUUCAAAGCCAGCCUCAGCCAUGGCAAAGCACUAAGUGAGACCCUGUCUCUA
RNAcentral lists this small RNA (117 nucleotides) under Marmota monax (woodchuck). The record is from RNAcentral. Lineage: Eukaryota; Metazoa; Chordata; Mammalia; Rodentia; Sciuridae.